RNAcentral lists this ribosomal RNA (474 nucleotides) under uncultured bacterium. RNAcentral describes it as "bacterial SSU rRNA". It matches the Rfam family "Bacterial small subunit ribosomal RNA", at positions 28 to 498 of the family's 1533-position model. The record is from RNAcentral.
GAUGAACGCUGGCGGCGUGCUUAACACAUGCAAGUCGAACGAAGCAUUUAGAACGGAUUACUUCGGUUUGAAGUUCUUUAUGACUGAGUGGCGGACGGGUGAGUAACGCGUGGGUAACCUGCCUUGUACUGGGGGAUAGCAGCUGGAAACGGCUGGUAAUACCGCAUAAGCGCACAAUGUUGCAUGACAUGGUGUGAAAAACUCAGGUGGUAUAAGAUGGACCCGCGUCUGAUUAGCUAGUUGGUGAGAUAACAGCCCACCAAGGCGACGAUCAGUAGCCGACCUGAGAGGGUGACCGGCCACAUUGGGACUGAGACACGGCCCAGACUCCUACGGGAGGCAGCAGUGGGGGAAUAUUGCACAAUGGAGGAAACUCUGAUGCAGCGACGCCGCGUGAGUGAAGAAGUAAUUCGUUAUGUAAAGCUCUAUCAGCAGGGAAGAUAGUGACGGUAACCUGACUAAGAAGCUCCGGCU